GCCGAGCCCAAGACGCGCGAGGGGCAGCGAGUCUGAUUCAGGAAGUCGAGCCUCUGACAUCAGGGACAGGACGACGGAGUGGAGUGAAACCUCAAAAAUGCGAAGCGUCCGCCCGCGGGAGGGCAGGGGACAUAGAGGGCGCCUUUCUCGCCACCGGCGGCAGGUACGCGCGGCGCAGGGCAGCCCCCGCUGACCCUCCCCUCCGGGCCAGGACCGCGCGGGACCCGCAGGGGCUUCCGAGGAGACACCCGGGACCUCGGCCGCCUUCGCUGGAGCAGCACCCGGCGGAUCCCCAGGCGACUGCGCCUGCAGGAAGCCCUCCGGUGGGACUCAAAGAUUUCCCCCAUUUGGGAGAUAAAUCGAGGCCCCAAGCGACUGAAUGAGCUUCCUGAGGACACACGUUAAGUCACAGGUGCUAUCUGUGGCCUGCCCAAACCCAGAGCUGGAAGAGGGCUAAGUUCCAAGUGGGCAAGCCUGCAUCCUCUCGUGUCCUGCCCUUGCGGGUGGGCUAAGGGGCUCCUCUGGCCCAGUCUAGCCACGCACC
Long non-coding RNA from Budorcas taxicolor (takin), 544 nucleotides. RefSeq lists it as uncharacterized. The record is from RefSeq and is a predicted model, not a curated record. The transcript has 3 exons. Lineage: Eukaryota; Metazoa; Chordata; Mammalia; Artiodactyla; Bovidae.